CCCAGAUUUUAGGUUAACUUCUAAGUUGUAUCUAUUAAGUGUUUGGAAAACCCCCAGUUAAAGGAGAGUAAUGAUGUAAAAAAAUGCAUGUAUUACUGAGAUACCUGAGAUUACUAUUCAAAAUUCAAUGGUGGAUUUCUUGUACAGUCUGAAUCUAAGAAUAAGAGUGUAUAAUGUGAUGCAAAUAUCUUCUCCCUCUAACAUCAUUGACCUUUGGUAGGUGGAAAUCAAGAUAUUUGAAGUAUAUAUCAAGAUACAAGUAAAUUUUCCGAGUGAGAAGAUAGCUCACAGAGUAUGAUUAUUGACCCUUUGAGAUGACCAAGGGUCAUCCACACAUCUUCUCUGGCAAAUGGAAAAUAUAAAUAUGCCAGCUUCCCAUUUUAUCCUUGAACCUCACCUUCUGAUAGAGGCUGGCACUAGGAUGAGUCUCAGGAAAGAGUCAAAUUUUGUAUGAUAUUCUCCGAAAAGGAUUUGGGAAACUGUCAUAAGAUAUAAUCCCAGCUGAACUGGCACAAGGAAGCUGAGUUACUCUAUUUACAACUCUAAGAGGUAAUAAACAUAAAAAGUACUUGAAAGUUCUUUCCUCAUUUUUUCCUUCUCAUGAGCUCUUGCUGACUCAAGGAGGCUCUGACAAUUGGUUUUCUCAUCAGGCAGGAGGGAGUUGGGACCAUAGAAGUUCAGUAGGGAUUUAUUGAGAAACAGGUUUUGGGGAACCCCUUAUAUCACACCUACUUGGGGGGAAUUGGCUCUUACAUUGGAAAUAUGUAAACUUGGAAAUGUCCCUGGU
RNAcentral lists this long non-coding RNA (787 nucleotides) under Ictidomys tridecemlineatus (thirteen-lined ground squirrel). RNAcentral's name for it is "lncRNA (ENSSTOG00000031246.1)". The record is from RNAcentral. Lineage: Eukaryota; Metazoa; Chordata; Mammalia; Rodentia; Sciuridae.